UAAGGAAUAUUGGUCAAUGGACGCAAGUCUGAACCAGCCAUGCCGCGUGAAGGAUGAAGGUCCUCUGGAUUGUAAACUUCUUUUAUCUGGGACGAAAACGGGAUUUUUAUCUCAAUUGACGGUACCAGAGGAAUAAGCACCGGCUAACUCCGUGCCAGCAGCCGCGGUAAUACGGAGGGUGCGAGCGUUAUCCGGAUUUCCUGGGUUUAAAGGGUGCGUAGGUGGGCUUAUAAGUCAGUGGUGAAAUCUCCGAGCUUAACUUGGAAACUGCCGUUGAUACUAUAGGUCUUGAAUUAUCUGGAGGUAAGCGGAAUAUGUCAUGUAGCGGUGAAAUGCUUAGAUAUGACAUAGAACACCCAUUGCGAAGGCAGCUUACUACAUAUAAAUUGACGCUGAGGCACGAAAGCGUGGGGAUCAAACA
This 421-nucleotide ribosomal RNA is filed under the name uncultured bacterium. RNAcentral describes it as "bacterial SSU rRNA". It matches the Rfam family "Bacterial small subunit ribosomal RNA", at positions 355 to 774 of the family's 1533-position model. The record is from RNAcentral.